UCCACCUCGAACUGAAACCUAUGGGUCUCCGCAUCUUGUUCGAAGGAGAUGCCUUAUAGGCAAUCUAAUUUGCAUCCCCACCUGCAACUGAAACUCCGGUGAAACCCAAAUCGUUUUCCAAUGGCACCAGCUUCUGAACGAGACAAACCGAUCAUCUUCACUUCAGUGUUUCUGUGAAAAUCCAGAACACGACCACGUUCUUUGUGUUCUCCGAUAUCAUCUUCCCACACCAUUGCUCUGAAAUUCUAAGCUUCUCCGACGUCGUCCUUCGUCUUCUCCCUAUUCUGAUGAUUCCAUG
Molecule: long non-coding RNA, 298 nt
Organism: Raphanus sativus (radish)
Lineage: Eukaryota; Viridiplantae; Streptophyta; Magnoliopsida; Brassicales; Brassicaceae
Exons: 3
Source: RefSeq, a predicted model, not a curated record